AGUAAUGUCUGGGAAACUGCCUGAUGGAGGGGGAUAACUGCUGGAAACGGUAGCUAAUACCGCAUAACGUCGCAAGACCAAAGAGGGGGACCUUCGGGCCUCAUGCCAUCGGAUGUGCCCAGAUGGGAUUAGCUAGUAGGUGGGGUAACGGCUCACCUAGGCGACGAUCCCUAGCUGGUCUGAGAGGAUGACCAGCCACACUGGAACUGAGACACGGUCCAG
RNAcentral lists this ribosomal RNA (222 nucleotides) under uncultured bacterium. RNAcentral describes it as "partial 16S ribosomal RNA". It matches the Rfam family "Bacterial small subunit ribosomal RNA", at positions 109 to 334 of the family's 1533-position model. The record is from RNAcentral.